This 234-nucleotide ribosomal RNA is filed under the name uncultured Bacteroidota bacterium. RNAcentral describes it as "uncultured Bacteroidetes bacterium partial 16S ribosomal RNA". It matches the Rfam family "Bacterial small subunit ribosomal RNA", at positions 226 to 457 of the family's 1533-position model. Lineage: Bacteria; Pseudomonadati; Bacteroidota. The record is from RNAcentral.
UCGGCAUGCGGUCCAAUUAGUUAGUUGGCUAGGUAACGGCUCGCCAAGGCUAUGAUUGGUAAGGGAUCUGAGAGGUCAAUCCCCCACACUGGCACUGAGAUACGGGCCAGACUCCUACGGGAGGCAGCAGUAGGGAAUAUUGGGCAAUGGACGCAAGUCUGACCCAGCCAUGCCGCGUGCAGGAAGAAGGCGUUAUGCGUUGUAAACUGCUUUUAUACAGGAAGAAACGACUCU